RNAcentral lists this ribosomal RNA (549 nucleotides) under uncultured bacterium. RNAcentral describes it as "bacterial SSU rRNA". It matches the Rfam family "Bacterial small subunit ribosomal RNA", at positions 110 to 656 of the family's 1533-position model. The record is from RNAcentral.
GUAACACGUGGGAAAUUACCAAGAAGUGGGGGAUAGCUUGGCGAAAGCCAAAUUAAUACCGCAUAUGAUCGCAAGAUCAAAGCCGGGGACCGCAAGGCCUGGCGCUUUUUGAGAUGCCCGCGGCCCAUCAGCUAGUUGGCGAGGUAAAAGCUCACCAAGGCUAUGACGGGUAGCUGGUCUGAGAGGACGACCAGCCACACUGGAACUGAGACACGGUCCAGACACCUACGGGUGGCAGCAGUCGAGAAUUUUUCACAAUGGGGGAAACCCUGAUGGAGCGACGCCGCGUGGAGGAUGAAGGUUUUCGGAUUGUAAACUCCUGUCACUGCAGAACAAGGGUGCGUUUGUUAAUAGCAAACGUAUUUGAUGGUAUGCGGAGAGGAAGGGACGGCUAACUCUGUGCCAGCAGCCGCGGUAAGACAGAGGUCCCGAGCGUUGUUCGGAUUCAUUGGGCGUAAAGGGUGUGUAGGAGGUCGGGUAAGUCAGGUGUGAAAUCUCACAGUUAACUGUGAAACUGCGCUUGAUACUGCCCGGUAGAGGAUCGGAGGG